Molecule: ribosomal RNA, 273 nt
Filed under: uncultured Ascomycota
Lineage: Eukaryota; Fungi; Ascomycota
Description: partial 18S ribosomal RNA
Rfam family: Eukaryotic small subunit ribosomal RNA
Source: RNAcentral
UUGGAGGGCAAGUCUGGUGCCAGCAGCCGCGGUAAUUCCAGCUCCAAUAGCGUAUAUUAAAGUUGUUGCAGUUAAAAAGCUCGUAGUUGAACCUUGGGUCUGGCUGGCCGGUCCGCCUCACCGCGAGUACUGGUCCGGCCGGGCCUUUCCCUCUGCGGAACCCCAUGCCCUUCACUGGGUGUGGCGGGGAAACAGGACUUUUACUUUGAAAAAAUUAGAGUGCUCAAGGCAGGCCUAUGCUCGAAUACAUUAGCAUGGAAUAAUAGAAUAGGA